This 253-nucleotide ribosomal RNA is filed under the name uncultured bacterium. Its description in RNAcentral is "partial 16S ribosomal RNA". It matches the Rfam family "Bacterial small subunit ribosomal RNA", at positions 524 to 776 of the family's 1533-position model. The record is from RNAcentral.
UACGUAGGCAGCAAGCGUUGUUCGGAGUUACUGGGCGUAAAGGGUGCGUAGGCGGUUGUUUAAGUUUGGUGUGGAAUCUCCCGGCUCAACCGGGAGGGUGCGCCGAAUACUGAACGGCUAGAGUGCGGGAGAGGAGAGUGGAAUUCCUGGUGUAGCGGUGAAAUGCGUAGAUAUCAGGAGGAACACCGGUGGUGUAGACGGCUCUCUGGACCGUAACUGACGCUGAGGCACGAAAGCGUGGGUAGCAAACAGG